RNAcentral lists this ribosomal RNA (1242 nucleotides) under uncultured bacterium. Its description in RNAcentral is "bacterial SSU rRNA". It matches the Rfam family "Bacterial small subunit ribosomal RNA", at positions 120 to 1391 of the family's 1533-position model. The record is from RNAcentral.
GGUAACCUGCCCCAUAGACGAGGACAACCAUUAGAAAUGAUGGCUAAUACUCGAUAGUCUUGCUUCUCAUAAGAGAAGUAAGUAAAACUCCGGUGCUAUGGGAGGGACCUUUGUUCUAUCAGCUUGUUGGUGAGGUAAAAGCUCACCAAGGCAACGACGGAUAGCGGGUGUGAGAGCACGACCCGCCUCACUGGGACUGAGACACUGCCCAGACAUCUACGGAUGGCUGCAGUCAAGAAUCUUCCGCAAUGGGCGAAAGCCUGACGGAGCGACGCCGCGUGUGGGAAGACGCCUUUCGGGGUGUAAACCACUUUUCUGUGGGAAAAACUAGCGAUGGUACCUCAGGAAUAAGGGGCUGCUAACUACGUGCCAGCAGCAGCGGUAAUACGUAGGCCCCAAGCAUUAUCCGGAUUUAUUGGGCGUAAAGCGCUAAAAGGUGGUUUUGUAAGUCAGGUGUUAAAGACCGGAGCUCAACUCCGGGCCUGCACCUGAAACUACUUAACUUGAGUAUGGGAGAGGCAAGUGGAAUUACCGGUGUAGCAGUAAAAUGCGUUAAUAUCGGUAGGAACACCAAUGGCGAAGGCAGCUUGCUGGAACAUUACUGACACUAAAUAGCGAAAGCGUAGGUAGCGAAUGGGAUUAGAUACCCCAGUAGUCUACGCCGUAAACGCUGGAUACUAGGUAUCGGGGGAUUCGACCCCCUCGGUAUCGUUUAGCUAACGCGUUAAGUAUCCCGCCUGGGGAGUACGGUCGCAAGACUAAAACUCAAAGGAAUUGACGGGGACCCGCACAAGCGGUGGAGCAUGUGGUUUAAUUCGACGAUAAGCGAGGAACCUUACCAGGACUUGACAUCUAGAGAAGCUCUCGUAAUGGAGAGUGUGCCUUCGGGAACUCUAAGACAGGUGAUGCAUGGUUGUCGUCAGCUCGUGCCGUGAGGUGUACCCUUAAGUGGGGUAACGAGCGCAACCCCUAUCCUAUGUUAAAUGAUCAUAGGAGACUGCCGGUGAUAAACCGGAGGAAGGUGGGGAUGACGUCAAAUCAGCAUGUCCCUUAUGUCCUGGGCGACACACGUGCUACAAUGGGUAAUACAAAGGGACGCCAAGCCGCAAGGUGGAGCAAAUCCCAUCAAAAUUACCCCCAGUUCGGAUUGCGGGCUGCAACUCGCCCGCAUGAAGUUGGAAUCGCUAGUAACCGUAUAUCAGCCAUGGUACGGUGAAUACGUUCCCGGGCCUUGUACACACC